Molecule: non-coding RNA, 117 nt
Organism: Homo sapiens (human)
Lineage: Eukaryota; Metazoa; Chordata; Mammalia; Primates; Hominidae
Rfam family: Metazoan signal recognition particle RNA
About the family: The signal recognition particle (SRP) is a universally conserved ribonucleoprotein. It is involved in the co-translational targeting of proteins to membranes.
Source: Rfam
GCUGGGCAUGAUGGCUCAUGCCUGUAAUCCCAGCACUUUGGGAGGCUGAGGCAGGUGGAUCACAUGAGGUCAGGAGUUCGAGACCAGCCUGGCCAACAUGGUGAAACCCUGUCUCUA